AAUGAACGCUGGCGGCGUGCUUAACACAUGCAAGUCGCACGAGAACGCUUCAGCUUGCUGGAGCUAGUAAAGUGGCGCACGGGUGAGUAACGCGUGGGUAAUCUACCUCCGAAUUGGGGAUAACACUGCGAAAGCGGUGCUAAUACCGAAUGAUAUCUCAGGGACCUCGGUCUCUAAGAUCAAAGGUGGCCUCUACAUGUAAGCUACUGUUUGGAGAUGAGCCCGCGUACCAUUAGCUAGUUGGUAGGGUAAUGGCCUACCAAGGCUUCGAUGGUUAGCUGGUCUGAGAGGAUGAUCAGCCACACUGGAACUGACACACGGUCCAGACUCCUACGGGAGCAG
Molecule: ribosomal RNA, 342 nt
Filed under: uncultured Pseudomonadota bacterium
Lineage: Bacteria; Pseudomonadati; Pseudomonadota
Description: bacterial SSU rRNA
Rfam family: Bacterial small subunit ribosomal RNA
Source: RNAcentral